UACGAAGGGGGCUAGCGUUGUUCGGAAUUACUGGGCGUAAAGCGCACGUAGGCGGCCUUGUAAGAUGGGGGUGAAAUCCCCGGGCUCAACCCGGGAACUGCCUUCAUGACUGCAAAGCUUGAGGAUGUGAGAGGUUGGCGGAAUUCCGAGUGUAGAGGUGAAAUUCGUAGAUAUUCGGAAGAACACCAGUGGCGAAGGCGGCCAACUGGCACAUUUCUGACGCUGAGGUGCGAAAGCGUGGGGAGCAAACAGG
Molecule: ribosomal RNA, 253 nt
Filed under: uncultured bacterium
Lineage: Bacteria
Description: partial 16S ribosomal RNA
Rfam family: Bacterial small subunit ribosomal RNA
Source: RNAcentral